GGGACCCGGCGGUGGUAGCACCCACACCCAGUGGGGCCCCCCUGGAGUGGACUCCUCUCCUGGUCCCUUCGACCAUGAACUGCCAGGAGGUACGGAGGUGCCGCUGCGUCGGCCUGAUGAGGUGGGACCUACCCUGGAGUCUGUGUCGGGGGAAAAGAGGAAGAGGGACACGUUGGUUGCGGGAGGCCUGGAGGUGACUGGAGGUGUGGACCGGGACAUGUUUGCCGGGUGUGCAGAGGGAGCGACGUGAUGGUGGAGGGCUAAUGCUUCAGGAUGGAUACAAGCAGUAUGUUAUACACAUAAAACAUCAAGGCGCGGGGAGCUGCACUGCAAGUUGAGAUUUCUGGGAUAGGACCGUGAUGUAUGCGCAAGAGAAAGAACAGUCCAGGGACCGCGGAGAGCCUUGGUUGCCAGCUGCGUGGAGCUAUCCUUGGAUUACAAGAGUUUCGUAAUGAAAAGAUGAGUGUUAUGUGAGGGUGGGUUUUGGUAUGCGUUGCGGUCUGUGUGCUGUGGGUGCGCUGUGUCGGCGGCGCUUGUCAACGCCUACCGGUAUCGUAGGGGACGUUAUACAACGUACUUGACACUCCCGCUUUAACAAAAAUGCAUUUCCUUUUUUCCAUGGCUGUGGGCUGUAAGCGACAGUAAAGGUACAGUACAGCAGACUGCCGCUGUGAAAUGAAACGACGCGUAGGUAUGUCAAAGCCGGGAAACGAGCCGUUGUUGGGGGGAUUUCG
RNAcentral lists this long non-coding RNA (734 nucleotides) under Volvox carteri. RNAcentral describes it as "long non-coding RNA (VCAR_LNC003759)". Lineage: Eukaryota; Viridiplantae; Chlorophyta; Chlorophyceae; Chlamydomonadales; Volvocaceae. The record is from RNAcentral.